Molecule: non-coding RNA, 57 nt
Filed under: Sorghum bicolor (sorghum)
Lineage: Eukaryota; Viridiplantae; Streptophyta; Magnoliopsida; Poales; Poaceae
Source: Rfam by way of RNAcentral
CGCCGUAACUAUAACGGUCCUAAGGUAGCGAAAUUCCUUGUAGGGUAAGUUCUGACC